UACGUAGGUGGCAAGCGUUGUCCGGAUUUAUUGGGUUUAAAGGGUGCGUAGGCGGCCUUGUAAGUCAGUGGUGAAAUACUCCAGCUCAACUGGAGGGGUGCCAAUGAUACUGCAGGGCUUGAGUACAGAUGAGGUAGGCGGAAUUGACGGUGUAGCGGUGAAAUGCAUAGAUAUCGUCAAGAACACCGAUAGCGAGGGCAGCUUACUGGGCUGUAACUGACGCUGAGGCACGAAAGUGUGGGGAUCAAACAGG
This 253-nucleotide ribosomal RNA is filed under the name uncultured bacterium. RNAcentral's name for it is "partial 16S ribosomal RNA". It matches the Rfam family "Bacterial small subunit ribosomal RNA", at positions 524 to 776 of the family's 1533-position model. The record is from RNAcentral.